CACCCAAAUAAAUUUGCCAGAUGAUUUUAAGCACUGUGCGACCAUGUCAUCGAUUAAACGAUGCUCAUACCAAAUGUUCUGCUUCUCGAAUUCGCCUUGGUAUUUUCUAUCAAGCAGAUAUCCUGGAAGAUGUCUUUGAAGCGACCAUCGUAUUUCUUCAAAAUGGUAUUUUUUGUGGACAAAUAAAGCGGCCACUUCUUCAGCAGUGCCAUUUGGAAGGACGAAUGAGCGAAUGAAGCAAUGGAAUCGUCUGUGUUGUACAUUCCCAUAGCAAUGCCACUGGUUUUGUACUCGAACAAUUCAUGCUUUUCCUUUUUGCCCGUUAAAUCUAUUACAAAACGCCGAUCGAUGACAAGGUCUAUUGCUUUGUACUGAUCGCCGUGAGCGUGUCGACCGAUAAUGAUUGGAUUUGUCCAUCCGGGCACUAGACGUGGGAUAUUUUUGCAUAAGAUCGGUUCACGAAACACAGUUCCACCCAAAAUGUUUCUGAUGGUUCCAUUCGGUGACAGCCACAUUUUCUUCAAUUUGAAUUCUGAAGAUAGAGAAAGAGUCAAAAAUGAAAUGAUUAUGUUGAAUUGUCCAAAUUCAAAGAAUGGUAAAUCUAAGAAGAUUGGCAAACCUUCGACCCGUUGUUCAUCUGGAGUGAUGGUGGCGCAUUUUAUGCCAACAUUGUGUUUUAGGACAGCAUGCGAUGCAUCGAUGGUGACUUGAUCAUUUGUUAGAUCACGAUGUGGCAGUCCCAAGUCAUAGUACAAGCAUUCCACCUGAAACAGUGAUAAGACACGUUUGAUUCGAGUACAUUAGGUCAAUGAAUCAGGCCAAUGUCACGUGUAAUUGAAAAGUGAAUGACCGAUUUUUUACCUUAACAUAGGGGAAAAUUAGUUUGGCCUUAAUAAAUUGCCAAAAAGUGAUCCGAAUAGCCCCCCCUCUCCCCUAUAUAUAUAUCUGAAAAACCUGUGCGCAAACUUUAAUGGUACAUAUAUAUAUCCGUUGAGAUUAAAAACAUAUUCGCAUUGGAAAAUACACAUUUCAAACUUUAUUUUAGAAAAAAAUAACCGAGUUCCCCAUCUAGGGAGGGAUAUAGAGCCCGAGAAAAAUACUGAAAGUCACUGGUCGAAAAAUCGACCACUGGUCAUUAAUGGGUAAAAUAGCAUUAUCAAACUUCCAUUCUCAGUUCUAAGCAUAAAUUGACUUAUCAUUCUAUUUAAUUUGAAAUAUAUUUUUAAUGUCAAAAAUGAUUUAAAAGAAGUACAUAUUUUUCAUUACGUUAUACAUUAAUAUGUAGGUACAUUGAACUGUAAAUGUGUGUGCAAAUAUGUUUCAGGUUAGCGUCGGGAUAAAAAUGGAACGAAUGUAAGAAAUGAGGAAUUCAAACGUUCGCUCCAGUGCGUUCCAAUGUGACGAUACGAUUGUUGCGAUUCAUCCGCCAUUUGCCACCGCAAGCUGCUUUAAUUUGUUCAUCAAAAGUAGGGCCAGUAAGAAAAGAAAAACUCCGCGAAAAUUCCAUAUGCGACAAUAGGAGCGGUAAUUGGUCUAUUUUGUGAUAAAGCGAUGUAGAGUAAAUAAUGUCUUUUAAAUAUGGUAACAUAUUCUGCAAUUGACCUGUCACUAUCACUACAAAUAGAGCAUAAGUAUCAAACGCGAAUUUUUCAAUCAUUCGAUUUUCAUUGAUAAAGGUUACAUAAUUUUCAAUAGAUACAUAAAAAUCCGUGAUUUCGAACUCUUCCAAAUGACUGAAUGAAAAGGGAAUUUUUGGUGCGGGUACAUCACGCCUUCCAUAAUAACAAUAUUUGAAUUUUUUAACAUUUGGCAAAUAUAUCGAACUGUCAUAUGCUAUAUAGUUUCCCAACCAUUUAGUAUGAAGAAUUUCAAUAGAUUGUAGAUAGCGUUCACUAAUCCUUUUGAACACAUCCAAAUCUUUCAUACCGAUCUUCAAACUGCGUAAAUUCGAAUUUAAUCGCAAAAUAUCAGUAACACUAUCAGAAAGUGGGACAUUCAAAUCGAAUUCUAAAUGUUGUAAAUUUGGAAAAUACUCCGACAGAAAUGGAAAAGUAUCAUUAGAACAAAAGCCCAAAUUCAAGCGAUUCACAUUUGGGAAAAUUCUACUCAAACACUUUUCUUUCAGUCUGCGUGAACAUUUGAUUGUUAGGUCUUCAAUAUUUUUAAAUGGUAUCUUGAAGCCUUCAAAUCCUAGCGCUUCGUCAAAUGAAGCCUUUUUCAAAGACUCAGUGCAAAACUCGCAUAUGUAGCUCAUAAUGCGAUGAUAAUUUGUGUAUUGAUUAUUUUUCAAACAUUUAUAGUAACGAAAUGUCAGCUCAGUUAUCAUUCCACCAAAGCAUCGUAUCAUUUGAAAGAUUGUUUUUAAAUCGGCGAUCGUUAUAUCUUCAUGUAAUGAUAUAGGAUUUUCUGCGUUUCUUUUCGUAGUUAUUUUCGCAUUGUAGCUUCGAAAUCCCCCUCGAUCAAUUAAGAUUGAUUUUCCAGCAUAAUUCCGAACGAAUGGCAUACGAGUAGCCAAUUUGAGGUAUGCAUUAGAGUCGGCAACAUUAAGCAGGUCUUCCAAAGACAAAUGAAUGAAGAUUUGUUCCAAACAAAAUUGAUUGACAUCAGUGAUUUUUGUUUCGAUAUUUAAAUAAGCCGUCUCAUCUGUUCGUCUUUUUUUUGGUUGACCAACUCCAGUUUCCAUGCACGUUCGUUUUAAAUCAACUUUUUCGUCAGCCAUUUCAAAUAGAACCACAAACAA
This is a long non-coding RNA of Sitodiplosis mosellana (orange wheat blossom midge), 2740 nucleotides long. RefSeq lists it as uncharacterized. The record is from RefSeq and is a predicted model, not a curated record. The transcript has 3 exons. Lineage: Eukaryota; Metazoa; Arthropoda; Insecta; Diptera; Cecidomyiidae.